GAUGAACGCUGGCGGCGUGCCUAAUACAUGCAAGUCGAGCGAACGGACGAGAAGCUUGCUUCUCUGAUGUUAGCGGCGGACGGGUGAGUAACACGUGGAUAACCUACCUAUAAGACUGGGAUAACUUCGGGAAACCGGAGCUAAUACCGGAUAAUAUUUUGAACCGCAUGGUUCAAAAGUGAAAGACGGUCUUGCUGUCACUUAUAGAUGGAUCCGCGCUGCAUUAGCUAGUUGGUAAGGUAACGGCUUACCAAGGCAACGAUGCAUAGCCGACCUGAGAGGGUGAUCGGCCACACUGGAACUGAGACACGGUCCAGACUCCUACGGGAGGCAGCAGUAGGGAAUCUUCCGCAAUGGGCGAAAGCCUGACGGAGCAACGCCGCGUGAGUGAUGAAGGUCUUCGGAUCGUAAAACUCUGUUAUUAGGGAAGAACAUAUGUGUAAGUAACUGUGCACAUCUUGACGGUACCUAAUCAGAAAGCAACGGCUAGCUACGUG
RNAcentral lists this ribosomal RNA (497 nucleotides) under uncultured bacterium. Its description in RNAcentral is "partial 16S ribosomal RNA". It matches the Rfam family "Bacterial small subunit ribosomal RNA", at positions 28 to 507 of the family's 1533-position model. The record is from RNAcentral.